GGUCAAGUGAAGAAGCGCAUACGGUGGAUGCCUUGGCAGUCAGAGGCGAUGAAAGACGUGGUAGCCUGCGAAAAGCUUCGGGGAGUCGGCAAACAGACUGUGAUCCGGAGAUAUCUGAAUGGGGGAACCCAGCCAUCAUAAGAUGGUUAUCUUGUACUGAAUACAUAGGUGCAAGAGGCGAACCAGGGGAACUGAAACAUCUAAGUACCCUGAGGAAAAGAAAUCAACCGAGAUUCCCUUAGUAGUGGCGAGCGAACGGGGACCAGCCCUUAAGUUGUAUUGAGAUUAGCGGAACGUUCUGGAAAGGACGGCCAUAGUGGGUGAUAGCCCUGUACGCGAAAAUCCCUUUGCAAUGAAAUCGAGUAGGACGGGGCACGAGAAACCUUGUCUGAAUAUGGGGGGACCAUCCUCCAAGGCUAAAUACUACUGACUGACCGAUAGUGAACCAGUACCGUGAGGGAAAGGCGAAAAGAACCGCGGAGAGCGGAGUGAAAUAGAUCCUGAAACCGUAUGCGUACAAGCAGUGGGAGCCCACUUUGUUGGGUGACUGCGUACCUUUUGUAUAAUGGGUCAGCGACUUAUUUUCAGUGGCGAGCUUAACCGAAUAGGGGAGGCGUAGCGAAAGCGAGUCUUAAUAGGGCGUCUAGUCGCUGGGAAUAGACCCGAAACCGGGCGAUCUAUCCAUGGGCAGGUUGAAGGUUGGGUAACACUAACUGGAGGACCGAACCGACUACCGUUGAAAAGUUAGCGGAUGACCUGUGGAUCGGAGUGAAAGGCUAAUCAAGCUCGGAGAUAGCUGGUUCUCCUCGAAAGCUAUUUAGGUAGCGCCUCAUGUAUCACUGUAGGGGGUAGAGCACUGUUUCGGCUAGGGGGUCAUCCCGACUUACCAAACCGAUGCAAACUCCGAAUACCUACAAGUGCCGAGCAUGGGAGACACACGGCGGGUGCUAACGUCCGUCGUGAAAAGGGAAACAACCCAGACCGUCAGCUAAGGUCCCAAAGUCAUGGUUAAGUGGGAAACGAUGUGGGAAGGCUUAGACAGCUAGGAGGUUGGCUUAGAAGCAGCCACCCUUUAAAGAAAGCGUAAUAGCUCACUAGUCGAGUCGGCCUGCGCGGAAGAUGUAACGGGGCUCAAACCAUGCACCGAAGCUACGGGUAUCAUCUUAUGAUGAUGCGGUAGAGGAGCGUUCUGUAAGCCUGUGAAGGUGAGUUGAGAAGCUUGCUGGAGGUAUCAGAAGUGCGAAUGCUGACAUGAGUAACGACAAUGGGUGUGAAAAACACCCACGCCGAAAGACCAAGGUUUCCUGCGCAACGUUAAUCGACGCAGGGUUAGUCGGUCCCUAAGGCGAGGCUGAAAAGCGUAGUCGAUGGAAAACAGGUUAAUAUUCCUGUACUUCUGGUUAUUGCGAUGGAGGGACGGAGAAGGCUAGGCCAGCCUGGCGUUGGUAGUCCAGGUUUAAGGUGGUAGGCUGAGAUCUUAGGUAAAUCCGGGAUCUUAAGGCCGAGAGCUGAUGACGAGUGUUCUUUUAGAACAUGAAGUGGUUGAUGCCAUGCUUCCAAGAAAAGCUUCUAAGCUUCAGGUAACCAGGAACCGUACCCCAAACCGACACAGGUGGUUGGGUAGAGAAUACCAAGGCGCUUGAGAGAACUCGGGUGAAGGAACUAGGCAAAAUGGCACCGUAACUUCGGGAGAAGGUGCGCCGGUGGAGGUGAAGCAUUUACUGCGUAAGCCCCUGCCGGUCGAAGAUACCAGGCCGCUGCGACUGUUUAUUAAAAACACAGCACUCUGCAAACACGAAAGUGGACGUAUAGGGUGUGACGCCUGCCCGGUGCCGGAAGGUUAAUUGAUGGGGUUAGCGCAAGCGAAGCUCUUGAUCGAAGCCCCGGUAAACGGCGGCCGUAACUAUAACGGUCCUAAGGUAGCGAAAUUCCUUGUCGGGUAAGUUCCGACCUGCACGAAUGGCGUAACGAUGGCGGCGCUGUCUCCACCCGAGACUCAGUGAAAUUGAAAUCGCUGUGAAGAUGCAGUGUAUCCGCGGCUAGACGGAAAGACCCCGUGAACCUUUACUAUAGCUUUGCACUGGACUUUGAAUUUGCUUGUGUAGGAUAGGUGGGAGGCUUUGAAGCGUGGACGCCAGUCUGCGUGGAGCCAACCUUGAAAUACCACCCUGGCAACUUUGAGGUUCUAACUCAGGUCCGUUAUCCGGAUCGAGGACAGUGUAUGGUGGGUAGUUUGACUGGGGCGGUCUCCUCCUAAAGAGUAACGGAGGAGUACGAAGGUGCGCUCAGACCGGUCGGAAAUCGGUCGUAGAGUAUAAAGGCAAAAGCGCGCUUGACUGCGAGACAGACACGUCGAGCAGGUACGAAAGUAGGUCUUAGUGAUCCGGUGGUUCUGUAUGGAAGGGCCAUCGCUCAACGGAUAAAAGGUACUCCGGGGAUAACAGGCUGAUACCGCCCAAGAGUUCAUAUCGACGGCGGUGUUUGGCACCUCGAUGUCGGCUCAUCACAUCCUGGGGCUGAAGCCGGUCCCAAGGGUAUGGCUGUUCGCCAUUUAAAGUGGUACGCGAGCUGGGUUUAGAACGUCGUGAGACAGUUCGGUCCCUAUCUGCCGUGGACGUUUGAGAUUUGAGAGGGGCUGCUCCUAGUACGAGAGGACCGGAGUGGACGAACCUCUGGUGUUCCGGUUGUCACGCCAGUGGCAUUGCCGGGUAGCUAUGUUCGGAAAAGAUAACCGCUGAAAGCAUCUAAGCGGGAAACUUGCCUCAAGAUGAGAUCUCACUGGAACCUUGAGUUCCCUAAAGGGCCGUCGAAGACUACGACGUUGAUAGGUUGGGUGUGUAAGCGCUGUGAGGCGUUGAGCUAACCAAUACUAAUUGCCCGUGAGGCUUGACCAU
This 2894-nucleotide ribosomal RNA is filed under the name Pseudomonas syringae. RNAcentral's name for it is "23S ribosomal RNA". It matches the Rfam family "Bacterial large subunit ribosomal RNA". Lineage: Bacteria; Pseudomonadati; Pseudomonadota; Gammaproteobacteria; Pseudomonadales; Pseudomonadaceae. The record is from RNAcentral.